RNAcentral lists this transfer RNA (67 nucleotides) under Parvimolge townsendi (Townsend's dwarf salamander). Its description in RNAcentral is "tRNA-Trp". Lineage: Eukaryota; Metazoa; Chordata; Amphibia; Caudata; Plethodontidae. The record is from RNAcentral.
AAAGAUUUAGGAUACUUAGACCAAGGGCCUUCAAAGCCCUAAGAAGAAGCCACACCUUCUAAUCUUU